GUUUUGUAUGUUCCCGAUAGACCGAUACUUUGGAAUUUUAAUCCAAAAAAGAAAUUGAAUGUUGCAAUCAGAUUUAAGAAUGACAAAAGAAGGAGUGGGGUUACACAAAAGCCAAUGAGGAGGCAUGUGACGUUUUUAUGUAAAAGGGAAUCUAAUAGCUAAACAAUGUCAGUCCAUUUCCCUAAAGUCCUUUUCAUUACCACCCCCACCCAUUCUA
Arabidopsis thaliana (thale cress) is the source of this 217-nucleotide long non-coding RNA. RefSeq annotates it as other RNA. The transcript has a single exon. The record is from RefSeq. NCBI's taxonomy places the organism in Eukaryota, Viridiplantae, Streptophyta, Magnoliopsida, Brassicales, Brassicaceae.